UAAUAUCCAUAAGGGUAUUUUUAUGCACAGUGCAUAAGGUGAUGACAGCCAUCCGAUCAUGAUUAUAGUGAUGACACGUGUAUUGAUCUGAAGGUCUCACCUCUGACCCUGAGUCACACAGGAUCACAGUCUCAAGCUCUCUCAAGGUCUCAACAUCGCGAUUCUCUCUGAAUCUCGCCGUCGUCUUCUCCCUUCGUAAUCGGUGGUGUACGGUGGAUUCUCGACGGUGGUCCUCGCUUUUCUUUCUUGUUCUGUUCUUCUUUUUAGUUAUGAGUAGUUUGAUAAAAAGGGUGGCGGCGAUGGUUGUAAUAUGAGGAAGAUGAAGUACUCGUAGGUGUAUCAAGAUCAAGAUCAAUUUCCGUUCAAUUCCUCUCAUUCUCUUCAAUUUCAUAUACAUGUUGUAUCAGGAUCAAGAUCUAGGUUUUGGAGUUGGCUGGAAAUGCUGCAAGGGACAACAAGAAAAGUAGAACUUUGCUAAGUCAUAUUAUUCAAUUGGCUGUUAGGAAUGAUGAAUAAUUGAGCAAGCUUCUUGGUGAUGUUACCAUUGCUAAUGGUGGUGUUAUGCCUAAUAUUCAUAACUUGUUGCUUCCAAAGAAUACUGGUCCUUCCUCUAAAGCUGCUGCUGAGGAUGAAUAAACGAAUGAAUGAAUUGUUACUUGAAACUUGAUUUUGCAGAUGGGGUUAACAAAUUUAUUUUCAAUUUUUUGUAUAUGGGUUUAGUUUUAGAGGUUCAUGACUUUGAUCUUUAGCUAUGUUAGUGGUUCUGUUAGUUACAGUAUCCGCUCAUCUCUCGAAUGAUCAAACGCUUGGUAUUUUCAGAAUCUCAUCACAUCCACCACUUUAAGCUCUGCAAAUCUCUUGGUAAAUUAAUUCUUAGUUGUAUGUGUUGGAAAUUGAUUUGUUGUAUUAUCUGGUCUACACACUGUAUGGCUGAAAAAGUGUAUAUGGUGCAUCCGAGAUGACGGCGGACUGUUUAGGCGUGCAGGAACAUAUUGGAUAAGUAGUGCUUACUCAAUUCUUGAAGCAGAGGCCCUAGUUCUUUUAGAGGCCCUAGUUUUUUUACUGUAAUAACAGCAAAACAGUGUGGCAAGCUGCUGGACUCGAUGUGAUGAUUUCGGCGCGGUUUCAACACUACAAUGCGCCAAAAGAUGUUAUUAUGAAUAUUUGUCAUUAUGAGGGCAAACAUAUACAGCUGGGAAAUUCGCUAUGCUAGUGUGGGUCUUGUGGAAUAAUAGAAACAAUUGGGUUUGGAAUAAUGUGAAAGAUUCGGGGCAACAACUAUGCGGUAAAGCGAUGCAUUUGUGGAAUGAAUGGGACGCGGUUCAGCAAAUUCGCGACAGGAACAACAGCAGACCGCAAGUACAUUAGCAUAAUACACAGUGGAAACAACCAAAAUUUGGAUGGCUCAAGUGCAAUGUUGAUGAAAACAUGUUAAUAAGAAAUACUGGUGCUAUCAAGUUAUGGUUUAAGCUCAUCAUUGGUUCAAAUUAUGAAUGUCACAAGAGUUUCUGUUUAUCCAUUAUGUGUAUUAUGCUGUCAAAGUAUUCCCAAAGGGCAGCUACUCAUAUGCCUUGCAAUCCUUGGGAGAAGUUUGGUGUCUCAUUGCUGUUUUUACCUUGUUUAAUUGUUUUGGAUUGGAUGCAUGAAGUGAUUAUGUUAUAUAACAACCAUUUAGUAUAAAUUUUGUUGUUGAGCGUCAAAAUGUUUGAAAGAGAUAGUCUCAUUUAUUGAAUUGCAAAAUACUAACAAAGAA
Molecule: long non-coding RNA, 1753 nt
Organism: Trifolium pratense (red clover)
Lineage: Eukaryota; Viridiplantae; Streptophyta; Magnoliopsida; Fabales; Fabaceae
Exons: 2
Source: RefSeq, a predicted model, not a curated record